GACGAACGCUGGCGGCGUGCCUAAUACAUGCAAGUAGAACGCUGAAGGAGGAGCUUGCUUCUCUGGAUGAGUUGCGAACGGGUGAGUAACGCGUAGGUAACCUGCCUGGUAGUGGGGGAUAACUAUUGGAAACGAUAGCUAAUACCGCAUAAUAGCAGUUGUUGCAUGAUAACUGUUUGAAAGGUGCAAUUGCACCGCUACCAGAUGGACCUGCGUUGUAUUAGCUAGUUGGUGGGGUAACGGCUCACCAAGGCGACGAUACAUAGCCGACCUGAGAGGGUGGUCGGCCACACUGGGAAUGAGACACGGCCCAGACUCCUACGGGAGGCAGCAGUAGGGAAUCUUCGGCAAUGGGCGGAAGGCUGACCGAGCAACGCCGCGGGAGUGAAGAAGGUUUUCGGAUCGUAAAGCUCUGUUGUAAGAGAAGAAAGAGUGUGAGAGUGGAAAGUUCACACUGUGACGGUAUCUUACCAGAAAGGGACGGCUAACUACGUG
RNAcentral lists this ribosomal RNA (495 nucleotides) under uncultured bacterium. RNAcentral describes it as "partial 16S ribosomal RNA". It matches the Rfam family "Bacterial small subunit ribosomal RNA", at positions 28 to 507 of the family's 1533-position model. The record is from RNAcentral.